GGUGCGGUACCCAAGCGGCUAAGGGAGCAGUCUGCAAAACUGUUAUUCGCCGGUUCAAAUCCGGCCCGCACCU
Molecule: transfer RNA, 73 nt
Filed under: Elusimicrobia bacterium HGW-Elusimicrobia-4
Lineage: Bacteria; Pseudomonadati; Elusimicrobiota
Description: tRNA-Cys
Rfam family: tRNA
About the family: Transfer RNA (tRNA) molecules are approximately 80 nucleotides in length.
Source: RNAcentral